UACGGAGGGUGCAAGCGUUAUCCGGAUUCACUGGGUUUACAGGGAGCGCAGGCGGAUUUGUAAGUCAGUGGUGAAAGGCUUAAGCUUAACUUGGGAACUGCCAUUGAUACUAUAAGUCUUGAAUGUUGUUGAGGUUUGCGGAAUGGGUCAUGUAGCGGUGAAAUGCAUAGAUAUGACCCGGAACACCUAUUGCGAAGGCAGCUCGCUACACAUAUAUUGACUCUGAGGCACGAAAGCGUGGGGAUCAAACAGG
RNAcentral lists this ribosomal RNA (253 nucleotides) under uncultured bacterium. RNAcentral describes it as "partial 16S ribosomal RNA". It matches the Rfam family "Bacterial small subunit ribosomal RNA", at positions 524 to 776 of the family's 1533-position model. The record is from RNAcentral.